GCACAUCUUAACACCCUAACAAUUCUUCCGCCCCGCGCUCCCCCAGAGCACAACCUCUGAUAUUUCUUCUGCUCUGAUCCCCUUGCCUAUAAGAACCCCCUCAUACAACCCCUUCUUCUGAUCUUCUUUCUCUUUCUUUCCUUAAUCAAUUUGUAAACUGUUAUCAGAAUAGUGUCAAGUCUGUUGAUAUUGCCGUUGGAAUGGAUCGUAUGAACUGCGCAGGUGGUAUGAAUGGUUUAAUCUGCAACAUUGGUAACAUCUGCUUAAUUGGUGGCACAUCUGUUACAUUAUGAAUCAAUUCAUCUGUGUUUAAGGCCUGAGUGCCUAGUUAUUAGUUCCUACGCCUGAGUGUGUUGAUUACAUUUAAGGCCCGAGUGCCUCAUUACCAGUUCCUACACCCGAGUGCAUUGAUUACAUUAAAAAAAAAGGCCUGAGUGCCUAGUUGUUAUAUAAAUUCCUUGUUGAGUCCGAGUGCCCUCAUCAUUAGAUACAUAGACUGUUGAGCCUAAGCAUCUGUGACACAAUCAACUGUCUCAUGAAGAGGCCCAAGUGCCUACAAACUGUAAUGCUGUGAAUAGUGUUCACAAAGAAGCUUGAUAAGCUUAGUGCUGCAAUGCUGUGAAUAGUGUUCGCGAGGGCCUGAGUGCCUAUGAAUAUCCCAUCCCCUAGAAUCACAUGUCUUUAGAUACUGAAAUGAGUUACCAACAAAUCUAUAAGCACCCGCCGCAUUUGAAUGCAGCGGACAAUAAUCUAGAUCUACAAAGCAUCCUCCAGCAGCAAGCACUGCAGAUGGCUGAGCUACAACAACAGCUUGCUGAGAUGAGCAUGUCUAUGUUCACUGUUCCCCCUACACCCGCAUCUCACAAGAAGCCCCUGAGAGAGAAGCUCCCAAUCCUCAACAAGUACACAGA
This 911-nucleotide small RNA is filed under the name Histoplasma capsulatum. RNAcentral's name for it is "hypothetical RNA". The record is from RNAcentral. Lineage: Eukaryota; Fungi; Ascomycota; Eurotiomycetes; Onygenales; Ajellomycetaceae.